This 374-nucleotide ribosomal RNA is filed under the name uncultured bacterium. RNAcentral describes it as "bacterial SSU rRNA". It matches the Rfam family "Bacterial small subunit ribosomal RNA", at positions 521 to 895 of the family's 1533-position model. The record is from RNAcentral.
UAAUACGAAGGGGGCUAACGUUGUUCGGAAUCACUGGGCGUAAAGGGCGCGUAGGCGGCGCGACAAGUCAGGCGUGAAAGCCCCGGGCUCAACCCGGGAAUUGCGCUUGAUACUGUCGUGCUUGAGGCCGGGAGAGGAUGGCGGAAUUCCCAGUGUAGAGGUGAAAUUCGUAGAUAUUGGGAAGAACACCGGUGGCGAAGGCGGCCAUCUGGACCGGUUCUGACGCUGAGGCGCGAAAGCGUGGGGAGCAAACAGGAUUAGAUACCCUGGUAGUCCACGCCGUAAACGAUGAGUGCUAGACGUCGGGGGGUUCACCUUCCGGUGUCGCAGCUAACGCUUUAAGCACUCCGCCUGGGGAGUACGGUCGCAAGAUU